This 253-nucleotide ribosomal RNA is filed under the name uncultured bacterium. RNAcentral's name for it is "partial 16S ribosomal RNA". It matches the Rfam family "Bacterial small subunit ribosomal RNA", at positions 524 to 776 of the family's 1533-position model. The record is from RNAcentral.
UACGUAGGGUGCGAGCGUUGUCCGGAAUUAUUGGGCGUAAAGGGCUCGUAGGCGGUUUGUCGCGUCGGGUGUGAAAUCCACUGGCUUAACUGGUGGCUUGCUUUCGAUACGGGCAGACUGGAGGUAUGCAGGGGAGAACGGAAUUCCUGGUGUAGCGGUGAAAUGCGCAGAUAUCAGGAGGAACACCGGUGGCGAAGGCGGUUCUCUGGGCAUGAUCUGACGCUGAGGAGCGAAAGCGUGGGGAGCGAACAGG